This 430-nucleotide ribosomal RNA is filed under the name Bacteroidota bacterium. RNAcentral describes it as "Bacteroidetes bacterium partial 16S ribosomal RNA". It matches the Rfam family "Bacterial small subunit ribosomal RNA", at positions 355 to 776 of the family's 1533-position model. Lineage: Bacteria; Pseudomonadati; Bacteroidota. The record is from RNAcentral.
UAGGGAAUCUUCGGCAAUGGGGGGAACCCUGACCGAGCAACGCUGCGUGAGUGAAGAAGGUUUUCGGAUCGUAAAGCUCUGUUGUUAAGGAAGAACGAGUGUGAGAAUGGAAAGUUCAUACUGUGACGGUACUUAACCAGAAAGGGACGGCUAACUACGUGCCAGCAGCCGCGGUAAUACGUAGGUCCCGAGCGUUGUCCGGAUUUAUUGGGCGUAAAGCGAGCGCAGGCGGUCAAUUAAGUCUGAUGUGAAAGCCCCCGGCUCAACCGGGGAGGGUCAUUGGAAACUGGUUGACUUGAGUGCAGAAGAGGAGAGUGGAAUUCCAUGUGUAGCGGUGAAAUGCGUAGAUAUAUGGAGGAACACCAGUGGCGAAGGCGACUCUCUGGUCUGUAACUGACGCGGAGGCUCGAAAGCGUGGGUAGCAAACAGG